UUGAAAAUGAGGUUUUCUCUAGUCAAAAACUACAACUCAAAUCAGAGUGGGCUUUAAGAUCGAAAGCCUCCAGAAUUGAAGCUCACAGAUCAACAACUGAUUUGUGCAAACUUCAAACUACAAGUUGUUUUAUAUCUAAGUAGAAUGUAUAUAUUUAGAAACCAGCAAAUAUGGUACUAUGAAAAAAAUCAUUUGGUAGCUACUGACAAGAUAACAUCAAUAACUUUUCUUCUCCGUCCUGCCAGGAUUUUAGAUACAAACCUCAAUGAGAAAUGGUAGUAAACCAUUGUCCUGCUUAAUCUCCAAGGUCAGCAAGUGAAAACUUUGUUUAGUUUCACUAAAAACAUAGAGACAAUUAGAUAACUAUUAAACUAAACAUUUAUCAUAAUGCUUUGACUUCAUACAGUAAAUUGUUGGAAUCUGUGCAAUGCUCAUUUGAUAACCAUAGUGUACUUUGAAAUGUAUUUGUAUUUCCGAGGGCAUGGUGGUGCAUGCUUUCAAUCUCAGCAGAGGCAGGCAGACUUUGUACUCUACAGAGUCGGUUCUAAUAUAUCCUAGGAAGCACAGAGAAACCAUGCCCUUCCCCCACAAAGACCAACAAAACAACACCAAAAAAUUAUAAUUAAUGAUUGUUUGAACAAAUCAGUGAGUUUUAACAUUAAAGACUUCAAUCGACAUUAAAACCCCAAUUAAACAAGCAAGCAUGUUGAUGGAUAAAAGCUUUCUGUACAUGAAAUUGUUGAAAACAUCCUUGUUAAAAUUCUACCCAUUCUUAUUUGCAACCCAAAGCUAGGGUUUCCCAAAGCAGUGUGAGGUUGCUGGUCUGUCACUCUUUGUAUGGUUCUAAAAAUUUCUUGUUACUAUCAUUUUAUGGAAAUUACAUUUAAGUGCCUCUGUCAUUUUUUUCCUAUCCUACUGACAAUGCUCACCAAAUAAAUAUUUGUCCUGUUGCUUUCUGAGAAGUGUUUCCUGAUGUGUUUGGUGGUCAGUGGAGCACUAGCAUCAUUAACCAAUGACUAUAAACAAACUAAUCUUUGGUAAGACAAAUAAAAUAUUAGUCCCAUUUCCUUUUUCUAUUUGUUUUUGCUCCCUUCCUCCCAACUGCUUGGAAAAUUUUGAUGUGCAUUUUAGUACGUGUAAGAGAGUUGUAAGGUAUUAGAAACUUCUAUCAAGUGCUUAGAAUCUAAGACUCAAGUGUGGUCAAAAAUUAUCUGAAUUCUUCUUCAGAAUGAUGUGAUUUCUGCCUGACCCUUUCUUUAGAGAGUAUUAAGGUUUCAUAUAGACCAGGGCUCUUUAUUAGACUGGACAGCUUUCUAGCACUUACUCCUAGGAAUCAGGUUCUCUGAUCAACUUGGAUUCUAUUUAUUCAAUUACUAUUGUCAUUAAAUGUUUUAAGGGCCUUAGAGAUGGCCCAGCAAUCAAGUGCAUGUUUUUAUUGCAGAGGACUCCCGUUCACUUCCCAGCACACACAUGGCUGCUCAUAACUCUGAAUAAGUCCAUUUCCAGGGGAUCUAAUAUCCUCUUCUGACCUCUGCAGGCAACUCGAUCGCAUGUAGUGCAUAGACCUUCAGGCAAAACACUCAUUCACAAAAAUAAUAUAAAUGAAAAUGUAUUUUUAAGAAGUACAAUUACUACUUUCUGUGUAUGUUAUUUUGAACUUAAGUACCUUUGUCAGUUUCCAUGGUAGAAGGCACUGUGUAUGACUGGUGUUAGAAUGCAUAGGUCUUUACAUCCACCUCAACCUCUCCAGCUGAUUUUUUCCUUCCUUCCAUAUUCUGAAAUUCCUUGAUGGCUUUUUAAAAAUAUCGUAGUGAACUGAUAAUUAUAGAUAUGGCCAAAACAGUAGUUGGGGUGUUCCCCAACAGAUGUACUUCCUCGGAAUUCUGGGAAUGAAGUUGUAGUAAGUGGUUAUGAGACUGAAACAGCUAUCAUAACAUCUGGGAGUUAAUGAAUGCUUCUGUCUCAUUCUCGAUGUGUUUGCUGCUUUACUAUUAAGGAUGUCAAUAACAAAAUACUUCCAAGCCUUAUAGGCUACGUGUGAAUAGCUGCUGAAAAUUAUCUACCUUUUUUGAUAAAUAAUAUAAUCUUGGCAUUUAUUGAUGUU
RNAcentral lists this long non-coding RNA (2104 nucleotides) under Mus musculus (house mouse). RNAcentral's name for it is "long non-coding RNA chr5:57965413-57967517". The record is from RNAcentral. Lineage: Eukaryota; Metazoa; Chordata; Mammalia; Rodentia; Muridae.